AGAGUAAAAUAGUACGUGAAAUUGUUGAAAGGGAAACGAUUGAAGUCAGUCGUACCGACGGAAAAUCAACUCUUCGAGUGCGGACUUUGUGGACGUGCGUGAGCUUUAACGGCCUCGCUGUUUGUAACGUUUGUGCUUUUUGGGUGUACUUUUUCGUAUGGUAGGCCAACAUCAGUUUUGAUCGCUAUAAAAUGACUGGAGGAAUGUAGCUUCGAUCUCGUAUUGAAGUGUUAUAGCCUUUGGUAGAUGUGAUGAUCGGGAUUGAGGAUUGCAACGGAUACCCUUCGGGGCUACUCGUCUGAUCUCUGAAAGUUGCUCUGGUGCUGAAAGCUUGCUUAUGGUCAUUUAAGUUUGACGGUCAAAAGGUUAGAACGUGAUUACAUUCGUUAAGGAUGUUGGCGUAAUGGCUUUAAACGACC
RNAcentral lists this ribosomal RNA (419 nucleotides) under Dominikia minuta. RNAcentral's name for it is "partial large subunit ribosomal RNA". Lineage: Eukaryota; Fungi; Glomeromycota; Glomeromycetes; Glomerales; Glomeraceae. The record is from RNAcentral.